UACGAAGGGGGCUAGCGUUGCUCGGAAUCACUGGGCGUAAAGGGUGCGUAGGCGGGUCUUUAAGUCAGGGGUGAAAUCCUGGAGCUCAACUCCAGAACUGCCUUGAUACUGAGGAUCUUGAGUUCGAGAUGAGGUGGAGGUGGAACUGCGAGUGUAGAGGUGAAAUUCGUAGAUAUUCGCAAGAACACCAGUGGCGAAGGCGGCUCACUGGCCCGAGUACUGACGCUGAGGCACGAAAGCGUGGGGAGCAAACAGGG
RNAcentral lists this ribosomal RNA (257 nucleotides) under uncultured bacterium. RNAcentral's name for it is "partial 16S ribosomal RNA". It matches the Rfam family "Bacterial small subunit ribosomal RNA", at positions 524 to 777 of the family's 1533-position model. The record is from RNAcentral.